GUGUGAACAGUGGUUGAUCACGAGUUAGUCGGUCCUAAGUUCAAGGCGAAAGCCGAAAAUUUUCAAGUAAAGAAAAAUCAGAAUCAAUGUGCCUAUAUACCGAUUUUUAUACACUUGAAUAAUUUUGAACGAAAGGGAAUACGGUUCCAAUUCCGUAACCUGUUGAGUAUCCGUUUGUUAUUAAAUAUGGGCCUCGUGCUCAUCCUGGCAACAGGAACGACCAUAAAGAAGCCGUCGAGAGAUAUCGGAAGAGUUUUCUUUUCUGUUUUAUAGCCGUACUACCAUGGAAGUCUUUCGCAGAGAGAUAUGGUAGAUGGGCUAGAAGAGCAUGACAUAUACUGUUGUGUCGAUAUUUUCUCCUCGGACCUUGAAAAUUUAUGGUGGGGAUACGCAAACUUCUCAACAGGCCGUACCAAUAUCCGCAGCUGGUCUCCAAGGUGAAGAGUCUCUAGUCGAUAGAAUAAUGUAGGUAAGGGAAGUCGGCAAAUUAGAUCCGUAACUUCGGGAUAAGGAUUGGCUCUGAAGAUUGAGAUAGUCGGGCUUGAUUGGGAAACAAUAACAUGGUUUAUGUGCUCGUUCUGGGUAAAUAGAGUUUCUAUCAUUUUUAUGGUAGUUUCUUGUUCCCCGGAUAGUUUAGUUACGUAGCCAAUUGUGGAACUUUCUUGCUAAAAUUUUUAAGAAUACUAGUCGGGCAACCGAUUAGUUCUUUUAAAUUAUAACGAUUAUCAAUUAACAAUCAAUUCAGAACUGGCACGGACUUGGGGAAUCCGACUGUCUAAUUAAAACAAAGCAUUGUGAUGGCCCUAGCGGGUGUUGACACAAUGUGAUUUCUGCCCAGUGCUCUGAAUGUCAAAGUGAAGAAAUUCAAGUAAGCGCGGGUCAACGGCGGGAGUAACUAUGACUCUCUUAAGGUAGCCAAAUGCCUCGUCAUCUAAUUAGUGACGCGCAUGAAUGGAUUAACGAGAUUCCUACUGUCCCUAUCUACUAUCUAGCGAAACCACAGCCAAGGGAACGGGCUUGGAAUAAUUAGCGGGGAAAGAAGACCCUUUUGAGCUUGACUCUAAUCUGGCAGUGUAAGGAGACAUAAGAGGUGUAGAAUAAGUGGGAGAUAUUAAGCUUCGGUUUAGUAUCAACAAUGAAAUACCACUACUCUUAUUGUUUCCUUACUUACUUGAUUAAGUGGAACGUGUAUCAUUUCCUAGCCAUUAUACGGAUAUAUUUAUUAUGUCUUAUGGUAUUGGGUUUUGAUGCAAGCUUCUUGAUCAAAGUAUCACGAGUUUGUUAUAUAAUCGCAAACAAAUUCUUUAAAGAGAAAAUGCAGUUAUGUAUUUUUGAUUUAAUAAUUUGGUAUAACUCCAAUUACUCAGGUAUGAUCCAAUUCAAGGACAUUGCCAGGUAGGGAGUUUGACUGGGGCGGUACAUCUCUCAAAUAAUAACGGAGGUGUCCCAAGGCCAGCUCAGUGCGGACAGAAACCACACAUAGAGCAAAAGGGCAAAUGCUGACUUGAUCUCGGUGUUCAGUACACACAGGGACAGCAAAAGCUCGGCCUAUCGAUCCUUUGGUUUAAAGAGUUUUUAACAAGAGGUGUCAGAAAAGUUACCAUAGGGAUAACUGGCUUGUGGCGGCCAAGCGUUCAUAGCGACGUCGCUUUUUGAUCCUUCGAUGUCGGCUCUUCCUAUCAUUGUGAAGCAAAAUUCACCAAGCGUUGGAUUGUUCACCCAUGCAAGGGAACGUGAGCUGGGUUUAGACCGUCGUGAGACAGGUUAGUUUUACCCUACUAAUGACAAAACGUUGUUGCGACAGCAUUCCUGCGUAGUACGAGAGGAACCGCAGGUACGGACCAAUGGCACAAUACUUGUUCGAGCGAACAGUGGUAUGACGCUACGUCCGUUGGAUUAUGCCUGAACGCCUCUAAGGUCGUAUCCGUGCUGGACUGCAAUGAUAAAUAAGGGGCAAUUUGCAUUGU
RNAcentral lists this ribosomal RNA (1967 nucleotides) under Drosophila hydei. RNAcentral's name for it is "eukaryotic LSU rRNA". It matches the Rfam family "Eukaryotic large subunit ribosomal RNA", at positions 1511 to 3185 of the family's 3401-position model. Lineage: Eukaryota; Metazoa; Arthropoda; Insecta; Diptera; Drosophilidae. The record is from RNAcentral.